RNAcentral lists this ribosomal RNA (375 nucleotides) under uncultured bacterium. Its description in RNAcentral is "bacterial SSU rRNA". It matches the Rfam family "Bacterial small subunit ribosomal RNA", at positions 524 to 898 of the family's 1533-position model. The record is from RNAcentral.
UACGUAGAGGGCAAGCGUUGUCCGGAAUCAUUGGGCGUAAAGCGUACGUAGGCGGUCUAGUAAGUCAGAGGUGAAAUCCACCGGCUCAACCGGUGAACUGCCUUUGAUACUGUUAGACUUGAGGAUAAGAGAAGAAAGCGGAAUUCCUAGUGUAGCGGUGAAAUGCGUAGAUAUUAGGAAGAAUACCGAUGGCGAAAGCAGCUUUCUAACUUAUUCCUGACGCUCAGGUACGAAAGCUAGGGUAGCAAACGGGAUUAGAUACCCCGGUAGUCCUAGCCGUAAACGAUGGAUACUAGGUGUUGGGGGUUCGACCCCCUCGGUGCCGCAGUUAACGCAUUAAGUAUCCCGCCUGGGGAUUACGACCGCAAGGUUGAA